AAGGUAGCGUAAUCAUUUGCUUUUUAAUUGAAAGCCUGUAUGAAUGGGGGUUUAAAUUUUCUUUUUUAUUCAAUUAUAUUUGAAUUUGUUUUAUUUUUAAAAAAUUAAAGUUGGAUUUUAAAAGACUAAAAGACCCUUGGAUUUUUAGUUUCUUACAUCUUUUAAAGUUUUUUAAUUAAAUAAAGGUUUGUUUAGGGAUUUUAAUUGGGGUAAUUUUGUAUUUUAAUAUAUUUUAAUAUAUUUUUUGAUCUUUUAUUUUGCUUUUUGUUAAAAUACCCAAGGGGUAACAGCGUAAUUUAUUUGGUUAGUUCUUAUUAAUAAAUUUUAUUGCGACCUCGAUGUUGGUUUGUUUUUCCUUUUUGAGGUAGAAUGUAAAUUAGGAAGUCUGUUCGACUUUUGAAUAAACACAUGAACUGAGUUCAAGUCGGCGUGAGCCAGA
Molecule: ribosomal RNA, 439 nt
Filed under: Sperchon mutilus
Lineage: Eukaryota; Metazoa; Arthropoda; Arachnida; Trombidiformes; Sperchontidae
Description: partial large subunit ribosomal RNA
Rfam family: Archaeal large subunit ribosomal RNA (bases 283-439)
Source: RNAcentral